UACGGGGGGUGCGAGCGUUGUCCGGAAUCACUGGGCGUAAAGGGCGCGUAGGUGGCGUCGUAAGUUUGUGGUGAAAGCCUGGGGCUCAACCCCAGGUCUGCCGCGAAUACUGCGAGGCUUGAGUACUGUAGAGGCAGGUAGAAUAUCGGGUGUAGCGGUGGAAUGCGUAGAGAUCCGAUAGAAGACCGGUGGCGAAGGCGGCCUGCUGGGCAGUAACUGACACUGAGGCGCGACAGCGUGGGGAGCAAACAGGAUUAGAUACCCUGGUAGUCCACGCCGUAAACGAUGGGUACUAGGUGCUUGGGGGAGCGACCCCCUGAGUGCCGGCGCUAACGCAGGAAGUACCCCGCCUGGGGAGUACGGCCGCAAGGCUGAA
This 376-nucleotide ribosomal RNA is filed under the name uncultured bacterium. Its description in RNAcentral is "bacterial SSU rRNA". It matches the Rfam family "Bacterial small subunit ribosomal RNA", at positions 524 to 898 of the family's 1533-position model. The record is from RNAcentral.